This is a long non-coding RNA of Numida meleagris (helmeted guineafowl), 1518 nucleotides long. RefSeq lists it as uncharacterized. Lineage: Eukaryota; Metazoa; Chordata; Aves; Galliformes; Numididae. The transcript has 2 exons. The record is from RefSeq and is a predicted model, not a curated record.
CGGGCGGGCCGGGCGCAGCCGCCGGGCCGGGGCUUCGUUGCUCGGCCGAGGUGUGCGGACACCGCGCAUCCCGGAGCAGCGUUCGUCUCCUCGGGAUGUUGCUCGCCGCGGUCGCUCCGGGGAAGCGCGUCCUCGACGGACGCUUCGCUUCCCCCGGGGGCGGGAGGGCCGCCUUCGGCUCCAGGCCCACAUCCCUUCGGGCCGCGGUGCCGGCUGCGGCCUCUGCGAGCUCCGACGGGACGGGAAGGGACGGGAUGGGAAGGAGCAGGCACUGAUUUCCACGCUGGGAAACGCACAGCGCGGUGUCCGCGCAUCCCUCUGCCCGCUGUGACAGGCUCGCUCACGGCCCCUUCCUCAAACCUGUGCCCUCCCCUCACCCACUCUGUCACCCGGGGGGCUACGCAGGAGCUUUUUGAAGCUUCCUUGAGGAAGCGUUUCCCGGCCCAGUGAUUGGUUGUCUCGGGCACCGCCGCGCCGCACGGGAGCACAGCCUUGCGCCUGUGCGGGGCGGGCAACAGGGCCGAGGGCGCGGCGGUGGCGGUGGCUGAGCGGGUGGGGUCGGGGAGUGACCGCGAGGGACCGCGCCCAACCCGGCUGCGUCUGCGCGCUGCGUCGGCAGGGGGAAAGCAGCUCAGGGGCGUUUGCGGGGGACCGUCAGAGCCUCUCUCCCCCUCGGAAAAUAUCGCUGGUCCGGGUCCGUAUCGCUCUCCGAGGGGGGGGAAUGGAGAUGACAGGUGUGCAGGUGCAGGCGCCGCGGCCCCCUCCCCGUCCUCCUAUCCUGCCCCUCCUUCCAGGCGACUUAUUAGCAGGGUUCGGGCCGGCUAACCAAACGGCAGCCCCGGGUGCGAAUUCCCCGGAAGAAUGCUUUGAUCGUGCCUUCUCUUCGCGCCGUCGGGAGCGGAUUACAUCGCCAAACGCAGGAACUCCCGCCGCGUGUUUUGGUCAGAGAUGUUACCCGUUAAUCUGAAACAAAUUGCCACUGCCCCGGGGGCCCGUGCUCGCCCCGUCACGGACCCGCAGUGCGCUGGCAUGACCGGGCUUCCCCACUCGCUGCAGGGAGGGCGCGCAGAUUUCCCGGGUGAUGGCAAUUGCGGGAAAAGAAUAAAAUUAAAAACAUAAAUAUUUAAAAAAAGAAAUCACUUUUUUUUUUUCUAGAGCUAUCCAACCAUUAAACAGCGUAAUUUCUUUUGCAGCUAUCUUGCAUAAAAGUGUGGGUUUGUUUUUGAUGUCACUCUCUUGUCAGUCUCUUGCUUACAGCACGGUGAAUCUCGGUGAGAUUUUUGUCUGUGGCACAGAUCCUUCAGAAUGGUCUCUACAUUAAAAUGACUUAAAUUAGCAAGUUUCAACUUUUUGUAUGCUUGUGUUUUAAAAAAGCAUGGUUUUUUUUUUUUAACACAUCUCCGCCUUAUGUAUUUGUAAGCACCUUUAUAGACAGAGGAGCGAUUUUCUGUGAAGUCUUGCACAUCAGUCCAGUAAAUGUAGUAAAACCAUAUAAUAAAGAUGUAAGAAAUGUCGACA